CCCUUAGAUGUUCUGGGCUGCACGCGCGCUACACUGAUGCGCUCAACGAGUUUUAACCUUGCCUGGAAAGGUUGGGUAAUCUUUUUAAAACGCAUCGUGAUGGGGAUAGAUUAUUGCAAUUAUUAAUCUUCAACGAGGAAUUCCUAGUAAGCGCGAGUCAUCAGCUCGUGCUGAUUACGUCCCUGCCCUUUGUACACACCGCCCAUCGCUCCUACCGAUUGAGUGAUCCGGUGAAUAAUUCGGACUGCGGCAUUGACCGGUUCCCGAUCGUUGCUGCGGAAAGUUUAGUGAACCUUAUCACUUAGAGGAAGGAGAAGUCGUAACA
This 325-nucleotide ribosomal RNA is filed under the name uncultured eukaryote. RNAcentral's name for it is "partial 18S ribosomal RNA". It matches the Rfam family "Eukaryotic small subunit ribosomal RNA", at positions 1470 to 1796 of the family's 1831-position model. The record is from RNAcentral.